This 566-nucleotide long non-coding RNA is filed under the name Phascolarctos cinereus (koala). RNAcentral's name for it is "lncRNA (ENSPCIG00000017382.2)". The record is from RNAcentral. Lineage: Eukaryota; Metazoa; Chordata; Mammalia; Diprotodontia; Phascolarctidae.
AAUCACGGUCCAGUGGCCCAUCUCGAGGAGCGGCGCCGCUGAGCCCGGGAAACUGCGCUUGCAGUCCCUGCCCUCAAGAAGCUCACAUUCGAAUGGGAGAAAUGACCUAUGCCUGUGUACAUACACAAUCUAUACACUAUCUAUAAAUGCAAGCCGCCUUAUUUUUAUUCAAAGUCCCUCAAUUGCACCUGAGACUACAACUGCCCCUGAGACUACAACUGCCCCCUGGAUCAUUCCACCUCCCCCCAGGGAGCAGUAUUGCCGGCUUUGGGAAUCUAUGGUCUAGAAUGAUGAUCAACAAAACAGUGAGGAAACUGAGGUAAACAGAGGUUAAGUGACUUGCCCAGGGACACAUAACUAGUAACUGUCUGAGGCUGGAUAUGAACUCAAGUCUUCUUGACUCAACAUCCAAGUGCAGAUCAUGCUUCAAAUCUAGUGGAGAGAGUAGCAACAAUAACACAUCACUUUAAGAAAAGAAGGUUUUUAAACAUUUCCUUCUCAACAAAUCUAUGAGGUAGGUAGUCUAAGUAUUAUCAUUCCCAUUUUCCUGAUGAUAAAAAUGGUAC